Ictalurus punctatus (channel catfish) is the source of this 198-nucleotide long non-coding RNA. RefSeq lists it as uncharacterized. NCBI's taxonomy places the organism in Eukaryota, Metazoa, Chordata, Actinopteri, Siluriformes, Ictaluridae. The transcript is spliced from 2 exons. The record is from RefSeq and is a predicted model, not a curated record.
GGAGAGAACGACACACUGCGUACUGAACACUGAUGGCCUGACAGAGUCUGGAAGAGAGUGGGAAGAGAGAAAGAAGAGAAAGAUAUACAGAAAGAAUAAGUUCUCCUGUUUGAUCCAGUCCCACACCCGCACUGCUCCGUCCCAGCAGCCCACCGCCACCAGACUCCCCUCAGGGUCAAAGGUCACACAGUUCAGAGG